This 222-nucleotide unclassified non-coding RNA is filed under the name uncultured bacterium. RNAcentral's name for it is "contains 16S-23S intergenic spacer region". It matches the Rfam family "Bacterial small subunit ribosomal RNA", at positions 976 to 1199 of the family's 1533-position model. The record is from RNAcentral.
UGGGCUUGACAUCUCGGGGAAAGACCUCAGAAACGAGGUCCCCUCUUCGGAGUCCCGAGACAGGUGCUGCAUGGCUGUCGUCAGCUCGUAUCGUGAGAUGUUGGGUUAAGUCCCGCAACGAGCGCAACCCUUGCCAUUAGUUGCCAUCAUUAAGUUGGGCACUCUAGUGGGACUGCCGGUGAUAAGCCGGAGGAAGGUGGGGAUGACGUGUAGGAGCUCGAC